GGAGAUGCUGGAAGUCCUGCCCCUCAAAGCCCGAAUGAAUCACCCGAGACUCUCAUAGACGGUAUGCUCGAUAUCAUAGCAGAAAACGAAGGGAUCGAUGGAGAGAACAACCAUCUUGGUGAUCACGGGCACCUUAUCGACGCCGACAUCUAUGAAGAGAUAGAAGGACUUGAAGAAGAUGAAACAAGAAGGGU
Long non-coding RNA from Strongylocentrotus purpuratus (purple sea urchin), 194 nucleotides. RefSeq lists it as uncharacterized. The record is from RefSeq and is a predicted model, not a curated record. The transcript is spliced from 3 exons. Lineage: Eukaryota; Metazoa; Echinodermata; Echinoidea; Camarodonta; Strongylocentrotidae.